AGUCUAGCAUGUGCGCGAGUCAUUGGGACUCAAUAAACCUAAAGGCACAAUGAAAGUGAAAGUCUGUUUACGCGGACUUAGGGAAGAUAGGUGCGUACACUUGUGUACAACCUCGCACUCCCGGGGCGUCUCGCACUCAUUGCGAGGUGGGGCGCACCAAGAGCGUACACGCUGGGACCCGAAAGAUGGUGAACUAUGCCUGGUCAGGACGAAGUCAGGGGAAACCCUGAUGGAGGUCCGUAGCGAUUCUGACGUGCAAAUCGAUCGUCGGAACUGGGCUUAGGGGCGAAAGACUAAUCGAACCAUCUAGUAGCUGGUUCCCACCGAAGUUUCCCUCAGGAUAGCUGGCACUAGAUUAUGGAUGAGUCUCAUCCGGUAAAGCGAAUGAUUAGAGGCAUUGGGGUCGAAACGGCCUCAACCUAUUCUCAAACUUUAAAUGGGUGAGAUCUCCGGCUUGCUCGAUUUAUGAAGCCGGAGAUCGGAUCAAUUAGUGCCAAGUGGGCCACUUUUGGUAAGCAGAACUGGCGCUGUGGGAUGAACCAAACGCAGAGUUAAAGCGCCAAAAUCGACGCUUAUGGGAUACCAUGAAAGGCGUUGGUAACUUAAGACAGCAGGACGGUGGCCAUGGAAGUCGGAA
Molecule: ribosomal RNA, 637 nt
Filed under: Carabus cancellatus dolens
Lineage: Eukaryota; Metazoa; Arthropoda; Insecta; Coleoptera; Carabidae
Description: eukaryotic LSU rRNA
Rfam family: Eukaryotic large subunit ribosomal RNA
Source: RNAcentral